UGCGUAGGGGGCAAGCGUUAUCCGGAUUUACUGGGUGUAAAGGGAGCGUAGACGGUAAAGCAAGUCUGAAGUGAAAUGCCAGUGCUCAACACUGGAACUGCUUUGGAAACUGUUUGGCUGGAGUGCAGGAGAGGUAAGUGGAAUUCCUAGUGUAGCGGUGAAAUGCGUAGGUAUUAGGAGGAACACCAGUGGCGAAGGCGGCUUACUGGACUGUAACUGACGUUGAGGCUCGAAAGCGUGGGGAGCAAACAGG
Molecule: ribosomal RNA, 253 nt
Filed under: uncultured bacterium
Lineage: Bacteria
Description: partial 16S ribosomal RNA
Rfam family: Bacterial small subunit ribosomal RNA
Source: RNAcentral